GGGGAUGUAGCUCAAACGGUACAGCGCUCGCUUUGCAUGCGAGAGGUACCGGGUUCGAUGCCCCGCAUCUCCA
This is a non-coding RNA of Citrus sinensis (sweet orange), 73 nucleotides long. The record is from Rfam. NCBI's taxonomy places the organism in Eukaryota, Viridiplantae, Streptophyta, Magnoliopsida, Sapindales, Rutaceae.